Non-coding RNA from Hydra vulgaris (swiftwater hydra), 654 nucleotides. The record is from RefSeq and is a predicted model, not a curated record. NCBI's taxonomy places the organism in Eukaryota, Metazoa, Cnidaria, Hydrozoa, Anthoathecata, Hydridae.
AGUCAAAAAAAAAAAAAAAAUUUUCCUGCAUUAUCGUUAAAGUUAAUAUACUUCCAGUGUAGUAGUGAUAACUAGUUUUUAAAUUGUUUCAUAUUGGCUUCGUUAAAAGCCCUCCAAAGCUUUGUAGAGAAAUUAAUUUAAAAUGAGGAAUAUUAAAGUUUUAUGAGGCGGAAACAAAGUCCAAAACAAUUGCAACUUCUAGUAAAGGAAAGGGAAGAAAAAAAAAAAGUUUGAUAAAGCCGCAGAGGGACAUAUACCGAUUCUGUAAUUUAUGUGUGGGGUUAAUGUCAACGAACACAAAGUAUGCGGCCUUAGCGUCGUGUGCGACUUCUGCAAUGAGUGGUGUUGCCUAAGAUGCUCCACAGAGGAGGCUAAUAAAUUGGACUUGAAUUGCAGGCGAUGCAUUCCACUUAACCCUAUUCCAACAAAACUUCUAAAAAAAAUUUUAGGGUAAAAAAUUUUUCAGUUUCUUAGUAUUUAUUGUUUCUUUUGUUUGCAACAUUUACCGUAAAUAAUUGUCAUAAAAAUGGAUUUUGAAAUUUUUUUCAGAAAGGGUUGGGAUUUUGUACAUAAAUCAAAUUUUCAAAAUAUGUUUUACAUUCUACUUUAUAUGCAAAUAUUUUAUAGGAUAUAAAUAUAAAUUAAAUAAAAAUC